CUUGCCGAUGCAGUCGGGUCAAAGAUAAAAGCCCUCUCAGACUCCAGGAAUGUUAAUGAGGUGCCCAUCAGCCGGCAGAGCCGUGAUAUGGGCAAGCUACAGGUUCCAAGUCAACAGGGGAAAAAAAGAGCUUUAAGGACAAAGACACACUACAACUACAUCAAAAAGAAACCAAGCCAACCCUUCAGGAAUGAGAAAACUACAUUUCUACACAUUGUUGUCAGCAGUUUUAAUUUGUAUUACACAAUUAGUGUGGAUUCAGAUAUGAGAAAUCGUAUUUGUGAAGUUAAGACAACCAAAUAUUAUGUCAUUAGAAUGAACUGUUCAAAGUGACUAUUUUUGCAUUUCUUACCAAAGUUGCCAAAAUGUAGGCAUUUUUGCAGAACUUUAUUUGACAUGAAAUGGGUGGUGGAGGAAGAGGAACAAGAUGCACCUUCUAGCCAAGAUUCAGCCAAAUGUAUAGUACAGUUCAGUACCAAAUAUGACUCCUUAAAGAAGAAAAUGUAAUCCUGAAGUGGUGGUAUAUUGGAGGGGUCGGUGGGGUGCUAGUGGAUGAUAGGAAUGGCAGGCAAAAGAUUCUUUUAUGGGACUAAAGGGCUUCUUAAGAGAUGCUUUACAUAAAGGGGUUCUGGCAAUUCAAGGAUGAACCAUAAAUUGGAUUCAGAUUAAUGUUUCCACCCACAGGAUGUGAUUGCCUCACCUCCUCCCUCCUGUGGCAGGCACUUCAAAAUGCCCUCCAACUCCUGUUUCUAUGAGUCUCUUAUUCUCCAAGAAACAGGAUUUCUGUGGGCAUUUGGGGAUGCUGUAGAACACGGGAAGCGAGACCAUGUUCCACGGGUGGCAAUCCUUGAACCUGCUGAAAUGUCUAGUCUGGAGCCAAUCUCAGAGCACUAAAUCAAUCAUGCUCUUGUGUGUAUAAGAACUCAUUUCCUAAUAAAAGUCUUGCAACAUCCA
Molecule: long non-coding RNA, 954 nt
Organism: Eublepharis macularius
Lineage: Eukaryota; Metazoa; Chordata; Lepidosauria; Squamata; Eublepharidae
Exons: 2
Source: RefSeq, a predicted model, not a curated record